AGGGCUGGGAGUGCCCCAGGAUGGAUCUGAGGAGGAGGAAUGGCCCACCCUGGAAAAGGCAGCCAAAAUGACCGGAGUGGACCACCAAGCAGAGGUGGUUGUGGACCCUGAAGAUGAAUGGGCCGUUGAAAUAUUUAUGAAUAAGAACCCUCCUAUGAGGAAAGGCUGCCCAGCCCAGAAGCCCUGCACACUUGCCAGUCUACCAGCCCAGAACCUGCGGAAGCGACCCGGCUCUCAGCGCCACAGCGGACUUUGGUAUCUCCACCCACACAUACAUGGAGACACUACGUGUGUGUUCGCAGCUCAAGGAUCGCUUGGAGGACGAGGAGAUGGAAUGCGCUCCAUCUGAGGCACCUACUCCACACAGGCCUCGAUCCAAGUCAGCACUUCCUGCUCACAAGGAUAGUCAGCACCCUGAGAGUGGACAAUCCCUGCUCUUCAAGCGCUCUGUAGGCCCUAGCCUGAGGACAACUGUGGGGCUGUUCAUCUGAAUUUGGGAUUUGAGCCUUUUGUCACAGUCAUGGUCACGUUCUUGUGCUCACUUCCUUUGCUUUUUUUCAUGCAAAACUGUUUUAUUAGAAUCUGUAGAAUGGUGGGGGAAAUAAUAUCCCGCUUAAAUCACUCUCAAAACCAGAGAGGGAUCACAACUGAAUAGUGAGAACACUGUAUGCUCAACACAAGUUCAUUCUUCCAUCAACAUUAUUGUUCAAAAAGAAAUGUAUGUGAAUAUGGUAUAAAUCUUCAAGUCACACAAGGAAAAGACAGACCUGGAACACACCUCAUCCAGUCCAUUAUGCUCUGUGUACUAUCCUGACUUUAGAUCCUUCCCUGUGUCUAUGGUCUUUCAUACCCUGAUUGUGCUGGGAUACAAUCCCUACCAUUUUCCAAUCUUUUCCUGACCAUGGUUGGGCCUUCACUGUUGGCCCUCAGCUGAUAAGGAGCCCCUGAUUCUCCAGGGACACACCUCUCUCUUGUCUGAAUCAAUGAAACAUUGUUUUUAAAUAAAUCCAAAUCCCCUUGAACAGUCAUUCUGUGUCUCUAAUGCAUCACUUGAGUCCUGGCCUUCAUUUCUCAGAGCCCAACAGUAAUCUGUCAUUUAUACCCAAUAGGAACAUAGUGAGAACUCCA
RNAcentral lists this long non-coding RNA (1128 nucleotides) under Cricetulus griseus (Chinese hamster). Its description in RNAcentral is "lncRNA (ENSCGRG00015038679.1)". Lineage: Eukaryota; Metazoa; Chordata; Mammalia; Rodentia; Cricetidae. The record is from RNAcentral.